Mus caroli (Ryukyu mouse) is the source of this 924-nucleotide non-coding RNA. The record is from RefSeq and is a predicted model, not a curated record. Lineage: Eukaryota; Metazoa; Chordata; Mammalia; Rodentia; Muridae.
AUGUCUUUGCUGUGGUCUCCUGGUGAUGGUGCACUUAAGGAGGUCUCUGCUGUGUGCCUCCUAGUGAGUGUGGUACUUCAGGGGGUAUCUGUUGUGGACCUCCUUGUGGUGGUGGUCCUUUUGGAGGUUUCUGCUGUGGGCCUCCUUGUGGGGGGAAAACCUCGACAGGACAACUUAUCUUCAGGCUCCUUUGAUCUUCAGAAUCAAAACCAGAUCCCGAAUCAGAGGCCACCUCCUUCAGGGUUCCAACCAAGACCGCCUGCUAACGGGAGCCAGCAAGGCCCACCCCCACCAGGAGGCCCACAGCUGAGACCCCCUCAAGGCCCACCACCACCAGGAGGCGCACAGCAGAGACCCCCUCAAGGCCCACCACCACCAGGAGGCCCACAGCAGAGACCCCCUCAAGGCCCACCACCUCUAGGAGGCCCACAGCAGAGACCACCUCAAGGCCCACCACCACCAGGAGGCCCACAGCAGAGACCCCCUCAAGGCCCACCACCACCAGCAGGCCCACAGCCGAGACCCACUCAAGGCCCACCCCCAACAGGAGGCCCACAGCAGAGAUGUACUCAAGGCCCACCCCCAACAGGAGGCCCACAGCAGAGACCCUCUCAAGGUCCACCACCACCAGGAGGCCCACAGCAGAGACCCCCUCAAGGCCCACCACCACCAGGAGGCCCACAGCUGAGACCCCCUCAAGGCCCACCACCACCAGGAGGCCCACAACCGAGACCCACUCAAGGCCCACCCCCAACAGGAGGCCCACAGCAAACACCUCCUCUGGCUGGAAACCCACAAGGCCCACCACAAGGCAGACCCCAGGAACCUCGGUAAACCAAAAUUCUGCGACAGAAUUGAGUAGGACGAUGGCUCCCUCAGAAAGUUCUCCCAUGGCCACAAAGGAUUAUAACUGGAGCUUCACUA